Morone saxatilis (striped sea-bass) is the source of this 295-nucleotide long non-coding RNA. RefSeq lists it as uncharacterized. The record is from RefSeq and is a predicted model, not a curated record. Lineage: Eukaryota; Metazoa; Chordata; Actinopteri; Moronidae. The transcript is spliced from 3 exons.
UGACCUCCCCGUCGGUUGCUCUUUGUUAGCUUCCCGCCGUUGUCCAACUCAACCCAAACUUCUAACAGGACCGAUUGUAUGCUGAUGUGGCACUGCACGUCCCGCCUCCUCGACCUCUUACGCAUUUCCGGGAGACAGCUUUCUUCUUCCGGCACACGUAAACAUGGCGCCCCCCACCCCGCUGUUAGCAGUGCGUGGAUCAGACUGUACCACUCUGCUCAACGGUCCUCCAACCUGUGAACAACACUCAGCCUUCAACAGGUAAACACUCCUCCUCCUCCUCACUCUCUCUCUC